Molecule: RNase P RNA, 386 nt
Filed under: Buchnera aphidicola (Cinara splendens)
Lineage: Bacteria; Pseudomonadati; Pseudomonadota; Gammaproteobacteria; Enterobacterales; Erwiniaceae
Description: RNase P, M1 RNA component
Rfam family: Bacterial RNase P class A
About the family: Ribonuclease P (RNase P) is a ubiquitous endoribonuclease, found in archaea, bacteria and eukarya as well as chloroplasts and mitochondria.
Source: RNAcentral
GAAGUUGAUUGAACAGUCGCUGUUUAAGCUUACAUAAUUAACAGAGGAAAGUCCGGGCUCCUUAGGGUAUGGUGCCAGGUAACACCUGGGAAGAGUGAUCUUACGACCAGUGCAACAGAAAAAAAACUACCAAAUAUAAAAAUAUUAUAUAAAUAUUAAAUAUUUUUAAAAUAUUUAAAAUAGGUACAGGUGAAAUGGUGCGGUAAAAGCGCACCGCAAAAUUGGUAACAAUUUUGGCUCGGUAAACUUCCACCAGGAGCAAGGUCAAGUAGAAGAGUGCGACCCGCACAUUACUUCGGGUAGACUGCUUUUGAAUUAAUAAGAAAUUAUUAAUCUAGAUAAAUGACUGUUUUUAACAGAACCCGGCUUAUAAAUCAACUUCAUGC